This 329-nucleotide unclassified non-coding RNA is filed under the name plant metagenome. RNAcentral's name for it is "partial contains 5.8S ribosomal RNA, internal transcribed spacer 2, and large subunit ribosomal RNA". The stretch from base 1 to 105 matches the Rfam family "5.8S ribosomal RNA", at positions 50 to 154 of the family's 154-position model. The record is from RNAcentral.
GAAAUGCGAUAAGUAAUGUGAAUUGCAGAAUUCCGUGAAUCAUCGAAUCUUUGAACGCACAUUGCGCCCUCUGGUAUUCCGGGGGGCAUGCCUGUCCGAGCGUCAUUGCGAACCCCUCAAGCACGGCUUGUGUGAUGGGCCCUCCCGCGUCUUGGUCGUCAAGACGGGCCCGAAAUGCAGUGGCGGCUUCGCGGUUAGCCGAUCAGCCAGAGCGUAUGGGGACUUUCUCUCUGUCACACGCCCGCGGCGCGGACCGACGCCUGUCGACCUUCAUUCAUCGUUUUCUCGGUUGACCUCGGAUCAGGUAGGGAUACCCGCUGAACUUAAGC